This 72-nucleotide transfer RNA is filed under the name Tringa semipalmata (Willet). Its description in RNAcentral is "tRNA-Glu". Lineage: Eukaryota; Metazoa; Chordata; Aves; Charadriiformes; Scolopacidae. The record is from RNAcentral.
GUUCUUGUAGUUGAGAUGCAACAACGGUGGUUUUUCAGGCCACAGGUCCUGGAGAGAGGCCAGGCAGGAACU